GUAAUGGUAGUUCAGUGGGAGAAUUCUCACCUUCCAUGUGGGAGACCUGGGUUCAAUUCCCAACCAACGCA
This 71-nucleotide transfer RNA is filed under the name Loxodonta africana (African savanna elephant). It matches the Rfam family "tRNA". From Rfam's summary of the family: Transfer RNA (tRNA) molecules are approximately 80 nucleotides in length. The record is from Rfam by way of RNAcentral. Lineage: Eukaryota; Metazoa; Chordata; Mammalia; Proboscidea; Elephantidae.